ACUAACGACGAUAUGCUUUGGGGAGCUGUAAGUAAGCUUUGAUCCAGAGAUUUCCGAAUGGGGAAACCCAGCAUGAGUUAUGUCAUGUUAUCGAUAUGUGAAUACAUAGCAUAUCAGAAGGCACACCCGGAGAACUGAAACAUCUUAGUACCCGGAGGAAGAGAAAGAAAAUUCGAUUCCCUUAGUAGUGGCGAGCGAAACGGGAAGAGCCCAAACCAACAAGCUUGCUUGUUGGGGUUGUAGGACACUCUAUACGGAGUUACAAAGGACGACAUUAGACGAAUCAUCUGGAAAGAUGAAUCAAAGAAGGUAAUAAUCCUGUAGUCGAAAAUGUUGUCUCUCUUGAGUGGAUCCUGAGUACGACGGAGCACGUGAAA
RNAcentral lists this ribosomal RNA (377 nucleotides) under Staphylococcus aureus. RNAcentral describes it as "partial 23S ribosomal RNA". It matches the Rfam family "Bacterial large subunit ribosomal RNA", at positions 61 to 431 of the family's 2925-position model. Lineage: Bacteria; Bacillati; Bacillota; Bacilli; Caryophanales; Staphylococcaceae. The record is from RNAcentral.